GAUCCUUUAGUUUAAUGGUAGAGCUGCGGUUUUACAAGCCGAAGGUUAAUGGUUCAAGUCCAUUAAGGAUCA
RNAcentral lists this transfer RNA (72 nucleotides) under Trentepohlia odorata. RNAcentral's name for it is "tRNA-Val". It matches the Rfam family "tRNA". Rfam says of the family: Transfer RNA (tRNA) molecules are approximately 80 nucleotides in length. Their secondary structure includes four short double-helical elements and three loops (D, anti-codon, and T loops). The record is from RNAcentral. Lineage: Eukaryota; Viridiplantae; Chlorophyta; Ulvophyceae; Trentepohliales; Trentepohliaceae.